UGAUCCCCAGCUUGCUGGGGGGAUUAGUGGCGAACGGGUGAGUAACACGUGAGUAACCUGCCCUUGACUCUGGGAUAAGCCUGGGAAACUGGGUCUAAUACUGGAUACGACCUUUCACCGCAUGGUGGGGGGUGGAAAGCUUUUGUGGUUUUGGAUGGACUCGCGGCCUAUCAGCUUGUUGGUGGGGUAAUGGCCUACCAAGGCGACGACGGGUAGCCGGCCUGAGAGGGUGGACGGCCACACUGGGACUGAGACACGGCCCAGACUCCUACGGGAGGCAGCAGUGGGGAAUAUUGCACAAUGGGCGCAAGCCUGAUGCAGCGACGCCGCGUGAGGGAUGAAGGCCUUCGGGUUGUAAACCUCUUUCAGUAGGGAAGAAGCGAAAGUGACGGUACCUGCAGAAGAAGCGCCGGCUAACUACGUGCCAGCAGCCGCGGUAAUACGUAGGGCGCAAGCGUUAUCCGGAAUUAUUGGGCGUAAAGAGCUCGUAGGCGGUUUGUCGCGUCUGCCGUGAAAGUCCGGGGCUUAACUCCGGAUCUGCGGUGGGUACGGGCAGACUUGAGUGAUGUAGGGGAGACUGGAAUUCCUGGUGUAGCGGUGAAAUGCGCAGAUAUCAGGAGGAACACCGAUGGCGAAGGCAGGUCUCUGGGCAUUAACUGACGCUGAGGAGCGAAAGCAUGGGGAGCGAACAGGAUUAGAUACCCUGGUAGUCCAUGCCGUAAACGUUGGGCA
This 732-nucleotide ribosomal RNA is filed under the name bacterium. RNAcentral's name for it is "bacterial SSU rRNA". It matches the Rfam family "Bacterial small subunit ribosomal RNA", at positions 70 to 815 of the family's 1533-position model. The record is from RNAcentral.